RNAcentral lists this transfer RNA (86 nucleotides) under Candidatus Levybacteria bacterium CG2_30_37_29. Its description in RNAcentral is "tRNA-Leu". It matches the Rfam family "tRNA". Rfam says of the family: Transfer RNA (tRNA) molecules are approximately 80 nucleotides in length. RNAcentral also lists the same sequence under 2 other names. The record is from RNAcentral. Lineage: Bacteria; Candidatus Levyibacteriota.
GGGCAAGUGGCGGAAUGGUAUACGCGUUAGUCUCAAAAACUAAUAGUCGCAAGGCUAUGAGGGUCCGACUCCCUCCUUGCCCACCA